This 371-nucleotide ribosomal RNA is filed under the name uncultured bacterium. RNAcentral describes it as "bacterial SSU rRNA". It matches the Rfam family "Bacterial small subunit ribosomal RNA", at positions 917 to 1291 of the family's 1533-position model. The record is from RNAcentral.
GGGCCCGCACAAGCGGUGGAGUAUGUGGUUUAAUUCGAUGCAACGCGAAGAACCUUACCAGGGUUUGACAUCCUGCGAAUCUCUUGGAAACAGGAGAGUGCCUUCGGGAGCGCAGUGACAGGUGGUGCAUGGCUGUCGUCAGCUCGUGUCGUGAGAUGUUGGGUUAAGUCCCGCAACGAGCGCAACCCACGUCUUUAGUUGCCAGCAUUUAGUUGGGCACUCUAGAGAGACUGCCGGUGAUAAACCGGAGAAGGUGUGGAUGACGUCAAGUCAUCAUGCCCCUUACAUCUGGGCUACACACGUACUACAAUGCUACGGACAAAGAGCAGCAAGUUCGCGAGGACAAGCAAAUCUCAUAAACCGUGGCUCAG